UAAACUACCCAGCUCAGUAUAUACAUCUUCCCUCUAGAGAGUCGGUUCAGCCGGGGUGAAGCUCGGCCGCUGCUCUGCGGAUCUGCUGGCUCCUGCGAAUUCCCCAGAUGUGGGAAUCUCGACUGCAUAAUUUCUGGUAGCGGGGGACUGCAUUCAUGCUCUCCCCCA
This is a small nuclear RNA of Brienomyrus brachyistius, 168 nucleotides long. RefSeq annotates it as U1 spliceosomal RNA. Lineage: Eukaryota; Metazoa; Chordata; Actinopteri; Osteoglossiformes; Mormyridae. The transcript has a single exon. The record is from RefSeq and is a predicted model, not a curated record.